CAAACGAGUCUUACCCUGUACUAAGUGUUUUUCAGAGGAAGAGGCACGCUUCUCUCUGAUACUCCGUAGUGUAUAUAGACACCCGUGUGCAGUGGAUUGCACUGGGAUGGGGAAGGGGAGCACGCCGGGCUGCGCUGCCGGAGAAGCUGGGGUUCCGCAGAAGCUCCUGGCAGCACUUCUUGGAAAUAACUCCCUUGCAUGAUCCCCAGUCUGUGCACAAGAAAUUGUUUGCCACUGCUAAACUCCAACCACUUCUGCAUCCAACACCUGAAUAUUUUGUGUGUAUUCGACUUGCUGAAGUGACCCUUGGUUUAGUCAUUAAUGUGUAUUAUAUGAAACUGUAAAUAGACUUUUUAAAUGAAAAUACUGUGUUGCUUUUAGCCUUUUUUUUUUCCCCUUGACCAUAUGAAAAUUAAAGAAUGCUGUGUUCUCUUUAACUGUCCUGUUUUUUAAUUAAAACAUAAUAUAGUACUUUUUACAUCAUAUUACAACUUAUUAAAAAUUACAAGUCCUGUCAUUAUUGUUUUGUUGUACAGUCUCUGAUUUACUCUCUGUAACACGGAGUUCUUCAGUAUGAUGUUGAAUUAGAUGCGAAGCAGAGCGGUUAACAUGCCAAGAGUUAAUAGCUGUUACUGACUCGUCUGUUCCGGCUUGGUUUUUGCCCGUGAUCCUUCACAACUGGAAGGAUUCCCUGCCCCGAUGUACGUGUGUGUGUAUGUAGGCAGACUACUGGGGUCAUGCAAAGGGUGCAGAUCUUGGAAUAAUGAAAAUUGUCUAAAAUCCUUGUACAUAAAUAAAGAUAUAGUAUAAAUACUGGUACUGUUGAAG
RNAcentral lists this long non-coding RNA (828 nucleotides) under Apteryx rowi (Okarito brown kiwi). Its description in RNAcentral is "lncRNA (ENSARWG00000010439.1)". The record is from RNAcentral. Lineage: Eukaryota; Metazoa; Chordata; Aves; Apterygiformes; Apterygidae.